ACGGAGGAUGCGAGCGUUAUCCGGAUUUAUUGGGUUUAAAGGGUGCGUAGGCGGAUAGAUAAGUCAGUGGUGAAAACCUGCAGCUUAACUGUAGACUUGCCGUUGAUACUGUCAGUCUUGAGUAUGGUCAAGGUAGGCGGAAUGUGUAAUAAAGCGGUGUGCUGCUUCAUUACUGCCCAGGACGCCGGUUGGGGAGGCGGUCUACCGGGAUUUGAUUGACUCUGAUCCUCGGAACCGUGUUGUUAGGUGUG
RNAcentral lists this ribosomal RNA (251 nucleotides) under uncultured prokaryote. Its description in RNAcentral is "partial 16S rRNA". It matches the Rfam family "Bacterial small subunit ribosomal RNA", at positions 525 to 775 of the family's 1533-position model. The record is from RNAcentral.